Papaver somniferum (opium poppy) is the source of this 931-nucleotide long non-coding RNA. RefSeq lists it as uncharacterized. Lineage: Eukaryota; Viridiplantae; Streptophyta; Magnoliopsida; Ranunculales; Papaveraceae. The transcript is spliced from 3 exons. The record is from RefSeq and is a predicted model, not a curated record.
GUUUCACAUUCACAAACUCCGAGAACAAAAAAUAAAAGAAAAGAAAAGAAAAGAAAAAAGAAAGAAAGAAAAGAAAGAGAAAAAGAAUCUCUCGCUGAUCAGGUGAACUGACUCCUUCUUAAUCAAAAAUUGAGUGAUCCAACAGGGACGACUAGCAGAGGAAAAGGGUAAAAGAUGCGGAUCCCUCCAAAGCUGCGUUUGUAAGCUGUUGCCUGAAUCAAUUUGAUAUCUGAUUCCAUCUUAAAAUUUUAAGAGGAGCUGGUUGUAUUGUCAUUGUUAAGCUUGGAUGGAUAAAAGUUGGAUGCAGAAGGGUAAAUGCCACCCUGACUAUAAACGUGGCUGCGAUGAAUUCAUAAAUUUUGCUUGGUCUCAUCGUACUCCUGAUUUAGGUGAGAGUAUUUUUUGCCCUUGUUUGAGAUGCAAUAAUGUGAACUGCUUGGGUAGAGACGUGGUGCGAGAGCACAUUCGAGAUAAUGGAAUAACACAUAGUUACACUCGUUGGACAAAACAUGGAGAACCUGAAGAGCUAGUUAAUAAUAUUGAGGAAGAAGUCACAAAUGUUAUAGGUGGGGGUGAUAUGCAUGGGAUGUUACAAGCUGCGUUCCCUGAAUCUAGGUUUUUCGCUGGGGAUGGUGAAGUUCCAGAUCAAGCCAAUACAAAUGGAUCAAGUCAGGAUGAUCGCGUUCCAGAUGAGCCGAAUGUGGAGGCCCAUAAAUUUUAUAAGUUGCUGAAAGAUGCAGAAACACCGGUAUUUCAUGAAUGUACUUUUAAUUUUGUGAUGGAAGUUAACUAGUUAAAUGAAUUAGUAGCCCAAAAUUGUGGAGUAAAAACUUUCAAUUUUCAAAAUUUAAAUGAAUUAGUAGUCAAAAUUGUGGAGUAAAAACUUUCAAUUUUCAAUAUUUAAAUGAAUUAGUAGCCCAAAAUUCUCCGA